RNAcentral lists this ribosomal RNA (253 nucleotides) under uncultured bacterium. Its description in RNAcentral is "partial 16S ribosomal RNA". It matches the Rfam family "Bacterial small subunit ribosomal RNA", at positions 524 to 776 of the family's 1533-position model. The record is from RNAcentral.
CACGAACCGUACGAACGUUAUUCGGAAUUACUGGGCGUAAAGUGUGCGCAGGCGGCCGAGCAAGUCGAGUGUGAAAGCCCCGAGCUUAACUUGGGAACUGCGCUCGAAACUACUUGGCUAGAGUGUGGCAGAGGGAGGUGGAAUUCCACGUGUAGCGGUGAAAUGCGUAGAGAUGUGGAGGAACACCUGUGGCGAAGGCGCCUUGCUGGCCGAUUUCUGACGCUGAGGCGCGAAAGCGUGGGGAGCAAACAGG